CCUACGGGUGACUGCAGUGGGGAAUAUUGCACAAUGGGGGAAACCCUGAUGCAGCGACGCCGCGUGAGUGAAGAAGUAUUUCGGUACGUAAAGCUCUAUCAGCAGGGAAGAAAAUGACGGUAACUGACUAAGAAGCCCCGGCUAACUACGUGCCAGCAGCCGCGGUAAUACGUAGGGGGCAAGCGGUAUCCGGAUUCAUUGGGUUUAAAGGGAGCGUAGGCGGGCGUUCUAGUCAGCUGUAAAAUCGCGCGGCUCAACCGCGCCGCGCAGUUGAAACUGGACGCCUUGAGUUCACAACAGGCAGGCGGAAUUCGUGGUGUAGCGGUGAAAUGCAGAGAUAUCACGAGGAACCCCGAUGGCGAAGGCAGCCUGCCGGGGUGCGACUGACGCUGAGGCUCGAAGGUGCGGGUAUCAAACAGGAUUAGAUACCCCAGUAGUC
Molecule: ribosomal RNA, 439 nt
Filed under: uncultured bacterium
Lineage: Bacteria
Description: partial 16S ribosomal RNA
Rfam family: Bacterial small subunit ribosomal RNA
Source: RNAcentral